GCCAGGCGCGGUGGCGGGCGCCUGUCGUCCCAGCUACUUGGGAGGCUGAGGUGGUAGGAUCGCUUGAGCCCAGGAGUUCUGGGCUGUAGUAUGCUAUGCCAAUCGGGUGUCCACACUAAGUUAGGCAUCAAUAUGGUGACCUCCUGGGAGCAGGGAAGCACCAGAUUGCCUAAGGAGGAGUGAACCAGCCCACAUUGGAAACAGAGCAGGUCAGAACUGCCGCACUGAGCAGUAAUGGGAUCGUGCCUGUGAAUAGCCACUGCACUCCAGCCUGGGCAAUAUAGCAAGACCCCAACUCU
RNAcentral lists this signal recognition particle RNA (299 nucleotides) under Saimiri boliviensis boliviensis (Bolivian squirrel monkey). RNAcentral's name for it is "Metazoan signal recognition particle RNA (ENSSBOG00000000363.1)". It matches the Rfam family "Metazoan signal recognition particle RNA". Rfam says of the family: The signal recognition particle (SRP) is a universally conserved ribonucleoprotein. It is involved in the co-translational targeting of proteins to membranes. Lineage: Eukaryota; Metazoa; Chordata; Mammalia; Primates; Cebidae. The record is from RNAcentral.